AUUAGCAGCAAUUUCCCACCCCUGCCAACCUGGAGGUCCAUGAAGACCGGGACCAUAUCUUUUGACUUCAAAGCCGCGGCCUCGAUACCUAGCACGACACCCAGCACAGGUUCAACUUUUCAGGGAGCCCGAAGAUCUCCCAAUGUUGCCUAAUUCCGUUUCAAAGUCCACCUUGGACGAUAAGCAGCAAGUUUGGCCACCUAGGCAGCUGACCAAGGUCUAAAGGAGACCCUUCCUUUUAGAGGUUUGACGAGGCCACAUCCCAUCCUGGAGAUAACGUAACACUGAUUGAUUGAAAGGAAAUGGAGCAGCCCCGAUGGCCCAGCGGUUUGGCGCCGCCUUCAGCCCAGGGUGUGAUCCUGGAGACCCAGGAUCGAGUCCCACAUCGGGCUCCCUGCAUGGAGCCUGCUUCUCCCUCUG
Long non-coding RNA from Nyctereutes procyonoides (raccoon dog), 420 nucleotides. RefSeq lists it as uncharacterized. NCBI's taxonomy places the organism in Eukaryota, Metazoa, Chordata, Mammalia, Carnivora, Canidae. The record is from RefSeq and is a predicted model, not a curated record. The transcript has 3 exons.